Molecule: ribosomal RNA, 211 nt
Filed under: uncultured Lactobacillus sp.
Lineage: Bacteria; Bacillati; Bacillota; Bacilli; Lactobacillales; Lactobacillaceae
Description: partial 16S ribosomal RNA
Rfam family: Bacterial small subunit ribosomal RNA
Source: RNAcentral
UGGAAACAGAUGCUAAUACCGGAUAACAACAGAUGAUGCCUAUCAACUGUUUAAAAGAUGGUUCUGCUAUCACUCUUGGAUGGACCUGCGGUGCAUUAGCUAGUUGGUAGGGUAACGGCCUACCAAGGCGAUGAUGCAUAGCCGAGUUGAGAGACUGAUCGGCCACAUUGGGACUGAGACACGGCCCAAACUCCUACGGGAGGCAGCAGUC